RNAcentral lists this ribosomal RNA (1116 nucleotides) under Triticum aestivum (bread wheat). Its description in RNAcentral is "partial small subunit ribosomal RNA". The record is from RNAcentral. Lineage: Eukaryota; Viridiplantae; Streptophyta; Magnoliopsida; Poales; Poaceae.
AUGGGAUUGUCAAGUAACUGUGCUAAGACAAUCAAGAUCCAGCAGUGUGUGAAAUUGCCUGAUUCCAAAUAUCUUCACAUCAACGAUGAGCUUGCUGGGUGCUUUGGUACCGAAGAUCAUGGCGACGGGCGGACGGCCCUCGUUCUCAGUCCGUUCGGCAAGAAUGUCUGGCCUGUCAAGGUUGCCGCGCACGGUAUCGGCGUUGGCUGGUACUUGGUGAUCCGGCAUGAAGGGUGCGGCGUGCUCACUCUAAAGGCGUUCGACGCCAGCUUUGUCAUUAAAGAGUUCGGCCUGACUAUCACUGUUUUGAGCCCAGCCGAGAUUGAGAACGCCUUUGCUCGUAAGCCACAGUUCAUCGUGCCACUCCAGAGAAGUUUCAUGGAAAAGAUGCCUAUUCCUCCCGAGUUUCUGCAACGAGGAUACAUCUCGGAAGAAGACCUGAACAGACCGAGACCGAUCGCCACUUUUUUAACAUCCUGGCAUAUCGAGCUCAAGAAGGAUGGCCCGAAUGUCUUCUUCACUGGUUCCGAAUGGCCAAAGUUUCUGGCCUACUUUGAAAUUGCUGAAACUGAUGUCCUGCUGAUCAAGUAUCAGGGGUGCAUGAACUUCUCAUUCGAGACCUUCCAAAAUGGGAAUAAUGAGCACAUCGAGGAAAAAACAAGCUCGUCUCAGCAAAGCGAGCAAUCACCUGGAGCACAAAGCCAAGAGGAAGAACAUGUUUGCAGCCGGAAAAGGAAACAAAGCGAAGUCAAAAGCAUGCUAGACGGAUCCACAACUUCACAGCACCGAAAGAAGGCUCUCUGCGAGCUUGGGUCGACGGGGUCGCAGGCUUGGUUAAGGAAGGAGAUCAACGAACUCGCGCUUAAAAGAUAUCUUCAUUUUCCAGCGCGCUUUGGAUUCCUGGAGCGUUGCAAGAUCACGCUCAAGUCCGUGGAGAGGAACAAGUCUUGGGAGGUGGAAGGUGUCAACUACCAUCCAGGCACCAGCAGGUCCUAUAAUUGUCUUACGAGAGGCUGGAAGGCCUUCUGUAAGGAGAACGAGCUCAAGGCAGGAGACAUCUGCACCUUCAAAGUCGUCAACAGCACGCUGUGGCAUGUUGUCAUCGACCACUGCUAG